Molecule: ribosomal RNA, 776 nt
Filed under: Planococcus sp. G11(2011)
Lineage: Bacteria; Bacillati; Bacillota; Bacilli; Caryophanales; Caryophanaceae
Description: bacterial SSU rRNA
Rfam family: Bacterial small subunit ribosomal RNA
Source: RNAcentral
AUGCAGUCGAGCGGAACCAUUGGAGCUUGCUCCAUUGGUUUAGCGGCGGACGGGUGAGUAACACGUGGGCAACCUGCCCUGCAGAUCGGGAUAACUCCGGGAAACCGGUGCUAAUACCGAAUAGUUUGCGGCCUCUCAUGAGGCUGCACGGAAAGACGGUUUCGGCUGUCACUGCAGGAUGGGCCCGCGGCGCAUUAGCUAGUUGGUGGGGUAACGGCCCACCAAGGCGACGAUGCGUAGCCGACCUGAGAGGGUGAUCGGCCACACUGGGACUGAGACACGGCCCAGACUCCUACGGGAGGCAGCAGUAGGGAAUCUUCCGCAAUGGACGAAAGUCUGACGGAGCAACGCCGCGUGAGUGAAGAAGGUUUUCGGAUCGUAAAACUCUGUUGUGAGGGAAGAACAAGUACCAACUAACUAUUGGUACCUUGACGGUACCUCACCAGAAAGCCACGGCUAACUACGUGCCAGCAGCCGCGGUAAUACGUAGGUGGCAAGCGUUGUCCGGAAUUAUUGGGCGUAAAGCGCGCGCAGGCGGUCCUUUAAGUCUGAUGUGAAAGCCCACGGCUCAACCGUGGAGGGUCAUUGGAAACUGGAGGACUUGAGUGCAGAAGAGGAAAGUGGAAUUCCAUGUGUAGCGGUGAAAUGCGUAGAGAUGUGGAGGAACACCAGUGGCGAAGGCGACUUUCUGGUCUGUAACUGACGCUGAGGCGCGAAAGCGUGGGGGAGCAAACAGGAUUAGAUACCCUGGUAGUCCACGCCGUAAACGAUGAGUG